UACGUAGGGCGCAAGCGUUAUCCGGAAUUAUUGGGCGUAAAGCGCACGUAGGCGGCUUAGCAAGUCGGAAGUGAAAUCCCUCGGCUCAACCAAGGAAGUGCUUUCGAAACUGCUGAGCUUGAGUACUUAAGAGGAUCGCGGAAUUCCCGGUGUAGAGGUGAAAUUCGUAGAUAUCGGGAGGAACACCAGUGGCGAAGGCGGCGAUCUGGGAAGAUACUGACGCUGAGGUGCGAAAGCGUGGGGAGCAAACAGG
RNAcentral lists this ribosomal RNA (253 nucleotides) under uncultured bacterium. RNAcentral's name for it is "partial 16S ribosomal RNA". It matches the Rfam family "Bacterial small subunit ribosomal RNA", at positions 524 to 776 of the family's 1533-position model. The record is from RNAcentral.